Molecule: ribosomal RNA, 571 nt
Filed under: uncultured Desulfobulbaceae bacterium
Lineage: Bacteria; Pseudomonadati; Thermodesulfobacteriota; Desulfobulbia; Desulfobulbales; Desulfobulbaceae
Description: bacterial SSU rRNA
Rfam family: Bacterial small subunit ribosomal RNA
Source: RNAcentral
CCUGGUCAGAUUGAACGCUGGCGGCGUGCUUAACACAUGCAAGUCGAACGAGAAAGGGACUUCGGUCCUGAGUAGAGUGGCGCACAGGUGAGUAACGCGUAGGUAAUCUACCUCUGCAUCUGGGAUAACACUUCGAAAGGGGCGCUAAUACCGGAUACACUUAUGGACCGCAAGGUCUAUAAGGAAAGGAGACCUCUCCUUGGAAGUUUCUGUGUAGAGAUGAGCCUGCGUCCCAUUAGCUAGUUGGCAGGGUAAUGGCCUACCAAGGCGACGAUGGGUAGCGGGUCUGAGAGGAUGAUCCGCCACACUGGAACUGAAACACGGACCAGACUCCUACGGGAGGCAGCAGUGAGGAAUAUUGGACAAUGGGCGCAAGCCUGAUCCAGCGACGCCGCGUGAGUGAUGAAGGCCUUUGGGUCGUAAAGCUCUGUCAGCAGGGAAGAACGGCCGUGUGGUUAAUACCCAUGCGGAUUGACGGUACCUGCAGAGGAAGCACCGGCUAACUCCGCGCCAGCAGCCGCGGUAAUACGGAGGUGCGAGCGUAAUCGGAUACUGGGCGUAAGGGCGCGUA